AAUGUAAGGGUGUAUGGUGGAUGCCUAGGCUUCAAGAAGCGAUGAAGGACGUGGAAUGGCUGCGAUAAGUUCCGGUAAGGUGCCAAUCAACCGUUAUAACCGGAAAUCUCCGAAUGGGGAAACCCAACUAUCUACGAUAGUUACUCUACGUAUGUAGAGAGUAAACCCAGGGAAGUGAAACAUCUCAGUACCUGGAGGAAAAGAAAGCAAAUCAAGGGACUUUCUUUCUGGUUGGAUCAGUCGUAAGACUGGCCAUUACAAUCAGGAAGAAGGUUCUUGCGAUGCCCUGAGUAGCGGCGAGCGAAACGGGUUCAGCCCAAACCGUGCGUGUUUACAUUCACGGGGUUGUAGGGCAGUGACUGCAUUUAGUUGCGAAAAGUUACAAAACGUUAAUAUAGUAAAACGCGUUGGAAAGCGCGACCCAAGUAGGUAAUAGUCCUGUAUACGAAAUGUUAACGACUUUUUUGUCACCGUUCCUGAGUAGUUCGAGACAUGAAUAGCUCGAAUGAAUCUGCCAGUACUAACUGGUAAGGCUAAAUAUUCUUGAAGACCGAUAGUGAACUAGUACCGUGAGGGAAAGGUGAAAAGAACCCCGGAGAGGGGAGUGAAAUAGACCUGAAACCAUACAUCUACAAGGAGUCGGAGGCCUGCGGGCCGACGGCGUGCCUAUUGAAGAAUGAGCCGGCGAGUGUAUCUGUAUUCUUUGUCUAAGGGGAAGCCCCCCGGAGGCGCAGUGAAAGCGAGCGUUAAUAGCGCGAAUAUAGAGUACGGAUACGACCCGAAGCGGGAUGAGCUUGCCAUGAGCAGGGUGAAGCGGAGGUAAAACUCCGUGGAGGCCCGAACCGGUUGGCCGUACAAAACCAUCGGAUGACUUGUGGUAAGGAGUGAAAAGCUUAUCGAAUUCCGUAAUAG
The sequence is a ribosomal RNA, 912 nucleotides long. It matches the Rfam family "Bacterial large subunit ribosomal RNA", at positions 1 to 848 of the family's 2925-position model.